Molecule: long non-coding RNA, 2982 nt
Organism: Drosophila obscura
Lineage: Eukaryota; Metazoa; Arthropoda; Insecta; Diptera; Drosophilidae
Exons: 3
Source: RefSeq, a predicted model, not a curated record
AUACUUAGUCAUAGACAUGUAUACCCUUAGUACGUGCGUGUCUUGGUGUAAUAUAAAUAAAUUUAUUAUUAAAUUCGUAGUUUGUGUUAAACAAAACACCUUUAAAAUGUUGCAUUAAAUUCAAAGCUAAAGCUGAAGCUGAAACUGAAGCUAAAACUGAAGAUGAUUGAGGUUUUUGAACCCAUCGAAGGACAGCGAUCGAUUCUUCGAACGAACUUGACUGAGUAAUUGGCCAAGCGGAUUGGGGGGAAUUCCAGUCGGUGUGGUCUAUGGCUUGGUCAGAUUACUCAGGCAAGGUGAGUUGUUGGUGAAGAGACUGGGCAGGCUGAAAAGAUUGAGGUAGGUGGACAGAAAGGUGGCCAGUAUGCCGAAGAGCAGCACGCCCAUGGUGCAGGAGAUGUCGCAAUCGAGGCGAUGCAGCAGCCGCACCAAACGCAGCCAGCAGCCGCGCGGUGAGUUGGGCUUGGCGGCCACCAGUAGCGGCUCCAUCUCGAGCUCAACCGGAUCGUAGUUCAGGUCUAGCGGCAGGCUGCCAUAGCUGCCCUCGGCGGCGAUCCGCUGGUGCACCCGCUCCAUGCGACGAAUGCGACGGUAGAGCAGCGGCGGCAGAAUGAACACCAGGGGCCCCGUUAUGGUGCCACCCACCACAUCCAUGAGGGCAUCAAAGCUCGGCACAAACUCCGCCACGAGCACCUCCAGGGCCAGCACACUGGACCGAAUGGCCAUGCGCUUGAAAGAGAGACCUGAAGAGCGGAAGAAAAAAGGAAUCUGUUUUCGAUCUGCAGGAACAUGGCAGAGCUGGCCACAGCCACGGAGAAGCAGAGCUGCAGCGACAUCAGGAUGAGCAUCACGUAGAAGGGCACGCUCGUGGGUAGCGACUGCAGCAGGUUGUUGGCAAUCAUGGAUCCAAACUUGUAGGCGGCAAUGAUGGACCCAAAGAUGGCCACGCUGCAGCAUGUGGAAUUCAUCUGGCAAUCACUUACUGACAAUUCCAAUCGUUGCCGCCCAGGAGACCUGCGACUUGCGCUUCAUGUCGAUCUGGAGGGUCAGCAGCACCGGAUGGAUGUCGAACUGGAAGGCCAGAAUGCUGUAGCUGUUCAGCAUGGUCAAGAAUCCCGGCAGCUCUGUGGAGAACAAGCCAUGGGCAUAAGCCUUAAAGACAGCGAAAACCUGUUCCCAUUUUACCCACCCAAGGAGAUGCCCUCGAAGGGUGUGCCAAUGGCAGGAGCAGCAAACAGACAAAACCAGAGAAGCGCCACAAUAAUAAUCAUCACACAGACGGCUAUGAUGGCGAGACCCCUGCAUAGAACGAUGGAGUAAAAUGUGGCAUCAGAGCAUCAUCUUACGGUUGCUCGCCUUCUCGCUCACCUCAUAUGCUUUGGACUGCCCAGCCACAUGAGCGGACAGAUGAUCAGACCCACAAUGAUGGCCCAGUAGCAGUAGGAGAAGUUGUAGUGGCCAGCGCUCAUGCGCAGGACGACAGCCUCCAGGUUCUCGGCGGCCAUCACCACACUGGGCACGGCCAUGGCAAAAAUGCUGAGAUCCAGCAGCACAGAGACCAGCAGACUCACAUACGGACCGUAGGCCAGCUCCGCCAGGGCGGCAUAGGGAUAGUUGCGCUUCUGCAGAAUGGAGGGAUCCAGGUGCUCGGCCAUGGUCCAGCACUGGGACAGCAGAAAGGAUGUGUAGAUCUGCAGGAAGAUGAUGGACAGCACCAGCAGCACUCCAAAGUAGCCCAGCUUCACCAGCAGAGCGGGCAGCGUGACGAACGGGAAGAUGCCGAACAGAUCCACCACAUAGAGGAUGGCAAUGAAGAGCGACAGGUUCUCCGGCUCGUCCUCGUAGGCGCGGAAAUGGGGCAGGGCACUGAAGCGGGCGCGCGACAGGAACGGCAACUGAUCAUGCUGAUGCGAGGGCGUCAGCUGCACGGGCGGACGCCGCUUCGGCAUGGGCAAAGGAUGGUGCGCGCGAGGGGCGUGGCGCUGGCUUGACAUUUUGCCGUCGGAAGAAGAACAUUCGCGUGGCCUCGGACUCGGAUGUAGACGCGACAACUGGAAACACUCAACUGUGGGCCCGUCUUAGACGCGCCCUGAAGUGUGCUGGCAACAAGUUCUGCCAUUUGUCAUCCGACACCGAAUGCACUGGGAAGCCCCUGCAAUGCACGUCGACUCUGACUCUGACUCUGUCGCUGGUCAAUAGCAAAGUUCAAUGCCUUCAUGCCUAGCUCCUUGGAUGCCGGAUGACCCACAAAAUGGCGAGGAAAUCAAUUAAUCCAUGUGAUUUAAGUGUUUAUUUUUACAUGCUCAUAUCAACAAUAGUUUCCCCUCCCCCUCAAUCCUGUAUCGAUCCUUGGCAUUGUCUUCAUUCAGCUUAAAGCUGCACUUGGGCAAUUUUCUGCUUCUUGGCCUGGCUCUGUGCAUAAAAGAUUCCAUUACUAACAGCUCAUCGACAUCUACAUCUAUGUCAUACAUACCUCUGAUUUCUCAUCGCUCUGCAUGGUGAUGACCUGCACCGCCUGGCCCGGACCGACACGCAAGAGUUUCGGGCCACGCUGCGAUGUGUCGCCGCAGCAGAAGACCCGCGAUGUCGCUUGCUGCAACUGCGGACUCGGGCUGUCCGACUCGUCCAUAUCCUGCUCGCUUAUGAGGGAGCUCGUGGCGUUCUUGUUGUUGUUGUCCGUGUAGGCGUGAUUAAAGAUCAAAUGAUUUGGACGCACUGCAUCCGUUAUAUACUUACUACAUACACAGUCCACGAGGUUAGGCAGGCGUGUCAGUACAACAGCAACAAAGGUUUGGUUAUUGUUUAAUGGGAAUACAUUUGAAGUGCCCAGCGGCAAUAUUGGUGUAAGUAAUUGAUACGUACACUGACCACCAAGGAUCUCAAGAAUUAUAGCACCAUAUAUAUGUAUGUAUAUUGCGGGUAUUAACAUAGGGUCAGGUGUAGGUGUUAGGCUCGUGGCAAGAACAGGGGGCAGGAGCCACA